GAAGAGACAAGUGCCGGGAUGCUGUCAGCUGCAUCGUCCCCUCCCUGAGGGUCUCUGCUAGGAGGGCUCCACCAUGGUCCUCUUCAAAUACAUGGGCCGCUGUGCUCUGAUACUCCUCCUCGCUCUGUUAUGUGAUGUGGCUGGACUGAUCAUCCUCCUCCUGGGAAUUUUUGCUCCACUAAGCUACUGGGACUUCUUCAUCUACUCAGGAGCUGUACUGAUCGCCUUCAGCCUCCUCUUCUGGAUAUCCUGGUACACAUCCAACAUCGAGGUCCCCUUUAGAGAACUAGGUUUUAACUAACCCAAGGCUCCAGAAAAGCAGAAGUGGAAACUAGCAUUUGGAGGAGCAACAUCAUCUGCUGGGAAGCGCUAAAGCAGCAUUCAGGGGAAGAGCUCCAAAAGAUCACAGGGAAGGGCCUGCUGUUCCCUACAGCAUCGCCCAGCCAGAGGGACCCUCAGGGGAAAGUGGCUGUGAUUAGCAUCCAGGAAGUUUUCUCCACUCCCCGAGGAACCUGGUAGCUGCAGCGACACAUGUGGUCCUGAAGCCAGUAGGAUGACUUCACAGGGUCCCCAUUGCCACACUGAGAGAAGAGGCUGGGAGGGGACCAAGCAGGACAAUCUGCCUCAGCCCAGCUAAGGGCUGGAUGUGCUGAGCCUGUAGCAGAGAACAUGUGGCCUCAUUUUUUGGGAAAACAGAGAAUCACCAGAGUAUGAAUCCAAGGAGCAAGCAGAUAAAUAGGAGUAGCACCAAGUAGCCUGUGUCCUGCCAAUCUUGGACAAGGUCUUCUCUUGAAAACCUGCCGCUGAAUAUGCAGACAGAGCAGUGUCGUACGGGUCUGCUGGGCACGUUGUAACCAGUCUGUGCCUGAGUAUUCAAGGCAUGCACAGAACGGCGGACACUCUUUUUACAUCCUCUGUAAGCACAUCACACUCACUCCUACCCACCGACAUUGCCUCGGCGUGCCCGACACUGGCAAUCUGGUAGCAGCAAAGCGGCUGCAGGUUGUCCUGGAUCCGGGCCAGGUGCAGAUCAGCAGGAUCCCAGCAGACAGGCUGGACCAGUUCUGCAAACCUCAGGCUGUGCAUAAGAAUGGGUUUGACAGAGCUCCCGGCCGGAGAGGCUGUCUGAGGUACCAGCAAGAUAUAAGCUAACUACCCCACUUGGGGGCCUCGCCUGUACGUUAAUGCUCUCAAGAGGAGAUGGAGACAUCAAAAUUGUGCAGGACAGAGGAUUUCCUAAGGGAAGCCUAGAGGCCAGCUGGUGGACUCCUGGCUAGAUAGAGGUCAGAGGUACAUUUUUACUUAGACUCACCAAAGUCCCAAACACUUUCUAACUGGCAUCUAAUGAAAUACUGAGAUCUUGGUACAAAGAACUAAUGGAGGCUUUGGCAGCUGUGAAGCCCAGGAAAGGAUUUAGUGCUGCAGCUGUCAAACUGAUAGUGGUUCAACGUGGAAAUAAACUUCCCUGCUGAUUCAAAAUGCAAAUUUCAGGUGGGAGGAGAGGAAACAAUGAGAUCUAUGUCUCUGUUCUCCUGUGUUCCUGAUGCAGCACUCAGCUUACCGUAAGGACAUUCUGUAGGAUGGAAGCACAUAAAAACACCUGUCAAUCAGGUUGUUCAACACUUUCCAUUACAUGCCAAUUGUUUUCAAUCGUUUAAAACUUUAUUAAGCUUUAUUCCACUGUGAUUUCCCACCCUUGAGCAUCUGCCUCUGAGAACAAGUUUGAUACUUCUGUGCUUCUCUCUGGAGACCAGCUGACAAGAUAGUGCUGACACUCGGAGACAUCCCUUUUCAUCAAGACAUGCUGUGCUAAAUGGUAUCAAAGCAUACAUGCAUUGACUGAACAUAGGAGAGAUCUUCCCCACCAUUUCAGAAACCUACAGGCUUCCCUGUGGGUAAGGGAGACGUGAUUUGGGCCCAACGUGCAAAUGCUGCUUGCACUCAGGCAAGCCCAUCCAGGGCUCCAUCAGACAUCUCAUGAUGAGUUAAAGAGGCCCCAAGGAGAGUGCAUAGAGGAGAAAACACUAAGGCCUCCAGGAGAGUUAUGCUGGGGAUGCCCGCCUUCACUGGUGCCUAGACAAUACCACAAACCAAAUAAUGCUUUGUGGUCAACACUGGACCUUUGACCUCCUUGUUGGCCUUAAUUUUUGCUCCUUGGGCCAAUAGCAAUGUUGGAGGGAUUUUUAGGUAAGCUGUCAUCGUGGGAACUACUAGCCUGGAAGGAUCUAGGAGCUCUUUCCUAUUGCUAGUCCCUAUGGCACGAUGGAGACCCAUCGCUGUAUGCCAAGGCUGGGAUUUCUGCCCUCACCAUGAGGAAGCAACUGGUGUCCCUUGUAGCCCUCUAACCACCCUUGUGCUCCCACCCUGGGAAGGAAGGCUCCUUGCUCAAGUCCAACAUGUGCUGUGCUGGACCCACUGCCCCAAACAUCAGAGUAACUGACACGUGAAACAUGGGCACACUUGCUGCCUGAUCCUGUCCCCAGCAGAACAGGGAUCACAUCCCAGUGGCCCAGAACAUCGACCAGAGAGUCAUCACACUAAGGGACACCAUAUGCCAUGUCGGACAGGGUAUAAGGCUGUGUCCUGGGGAUAAGAUGCAGCACAGAACAUGUGCCUGGGUGUUGUGCAGUGUUGUGUAUUAUUUUAGGGGACCUGUGCUGGUGUCACUUUUCCAUGUUUUUUAUUAUAGUUGCUGCCCUCAUUUCCAAAGCUCAUGGCUUUAUUGACAGUAGAUGGUGGGGUGAAGGGGAAGCCUCUGGCUUUGUCAAUUCAUUCAAAGUUACUGGCUAUUACAAAAUGUGGUAGCAUGUGUGGGACAGAUCAUACAGUCCGAUCACUACUGGCAAAAAUCAGCAUUAUUAAUCCUUCUCUGGCAGUGAAGAGAUACCUCUUCCUAUACAAAUAAGUUGAAAAAAAGGAGACACACACACACAAAAAACAACAACUACUGUUGGCUUUUCUGCAUUUGCAGUCAUUGGGAGGUGCUCUGAAGGUCAGUAAUUCGUCCUUUUUCCUCCAAAGAUAAAAAUAUAUUAAGAGUAUCUCUGUGGUUCUUGCAAAUUCUCAUGACUCCAGGAGCAGGGACUUCUAGGAAAAUAGCAGUUGUCAGGAGAUCACUAGCAAUAACCCCAAGGCAAGUACUCCUAGGGGCAACGCACUAUGUGAAUGAUUGCCCUCUGCCAUGGGUGGGAGCUGAUCUUCUCCAGGCCAGACUGCCAGAGAGUAGCCAAAUAUCCAUCCAUGGCUGACCAAGGAAGGAGCUAGCCCAAAGCCAGGAAUUUUAUCGAAUAAAUGGUCUGGUGAAGUUUUGAA
Molecule: long non-coding RNA, 3312 nt
Organism: Dromaius novaehollandiae (emu)
Lineage: Eukaryota; Metazoa; Chordata; Aves; Casuariiformes; Dromaiidae
Exons: 4
Source: RefSeq, a predicted model, not a curated record